GAUGAACGCGUAGCGGGAGGCUUAACACAUGCAAGUCGAGGGGCAGCAUAGGGUAGCAAUACUCUGAUGGCGACCGGCAAACGGGUGAGUAACGCGUAUGCAACCUACCCUGUACAGGGGAUAACCCGGAGAAAUUCGGACUAAUAUCCCGUAAUAAUAUCCGGAGGCAUCUUUGGAUAUUUAAAGUUCCGACGGUACGGGAUGGGCAUGCGUAACAUUAACUGGUUGGUAAGGUAACGGCUUACCAAGGCUAUGAUGUUUAGGGGUCCUGAGAGGGUGGUCCCCCACACUGGUACUGAGACACGGACCAGACUCCUACGGGAGGCAGCAGUGAGGAAUAUUGGUCAAUGGGCGCAAGCCUGAACCAGCCAUCCCGCGUGCAGGAAGACGGCCCUAUGGGUUGUAAACUGCUUUUCCAGGGAGAGAAACUUACGCACGUGUUGCGUGACUGACGGUACCCUGGGAAUAAGCAUCGGCUAACUCCGUG
RNAcentral lists this ribosomal RNA (487 nucleotides) under uncultured bacterium. RNAcentral describes it as "bacterial SSU rRNA". It matches the Rfam family "Bacterial small subunit ribosomal RNA", at positions 28 to 507 of the family's 1533-position model. The record is from RNAcentral.